This is a long non-coding RNA of Echinops telfairi (small Madagascar hedgehog), 660 nucleotides long. RefSeq lists it as uncharacterized. Lineage: Eukaryota; Metazoa; Chordata; Mammalia; Afrosoricida; Tenrecidae. The record is from RefSeq and is a predicted model, not a curated record. The transcript is spliced from 2 exons.
AAACUAAUAUGUGAUCAAUAUCAUUGUGAAUGGCUCAAAUAUAGUAUUUCUUAGCUUCUGUGUUUACCCACAACAAAAGUGUUCUUCAAUUCUACAACAGCAUUAUGAAAGGCAACCCUUUUAGGCACUUGGAGGAAGUCUGUUUGUAAACGUUUUCUCCCCCUUUCCCUUUAAUUAUGACUUCAUUUCCCAAAUGCUAGUGCUAUAGGUUCAUAAGUACAAGGACCACAGUGCUGUAGGUGAAGAAACACCAGCGCAUCAGACAGAAGUAGCUGCUCUGCAGAAUGGCAUGGAGGAAAACAACAAUGGCGCUUCCAGGAGGUGCUCUGCAGAAGGAACCACGUGACUGGAAGCAGCCUUGUAAGGAGGGAGGAUGCCAAGACACUCUUUGCCUUCUACACUCAUUGGAACAGCGAUCUGCGGAUCCUGCGCCCUCACCCCCCACCCCCAGGGAGACCUUCUCCUGGAGGUUCACAAACCCUUCUGCCAGGGCUGAGGACUGGCCCGAUUGGGGAGGACUCUGGACUCAGUGGGAAUUGGAGCGGCUAACUGGGGCCAAGUGUCUCUGCUCUGAGCUGCGAAAAUGUGACCAGGUAGUCACCUGGGGGGUUGGCUUUAAAUCGUUUAAAGAAAAAAUUAAUAAAUAAGUAGUUCACUCUC